UGGAUCUCAAAUCAGGUAGGAGCUACCCCGCGACUA
This 36-nucleotide ribosomal RNA is filed under the name uncultured Thelephoraceae. RNAcentral describes it as "partial 28S ribosomal RNA". The record is from RNAcentral. Lineage: Eukaryota; Fungi; Basidiomycota; Agaricomycetes; Thelephorales; Thelephoraceae.